RNAcentral lists this long non-coding RNA (208 nucleotides) under Ananas comosus (pineapple). Its description in RNAcentral is "long non-coding RNA (ACOM_LNC042528)". Lineage: Eukaryota; Viridiplantae; Streptophyta; Magnoliopsida; Poales; Bromeliaceae. The record is from RNAcentral.
UUUAUCGUCUCAGCCGUAUAUACCUCGGCUUCAUCAGCCGAUUCUUUACAUUUACUUAAUUGGUUCGGCUCUUCUUGAACCGAAUGUUCUUCUAUUAAAGAUUUCUCCUUGAAGAAAAUGGCUCUCUACCAGCCGCAUAUACCUCGGUCUCAUCAGCCGAUUCUUUACUUUCACUUGAUUGGCUCGGCUAUUCUUGAACCGACUGUUC